This 253-nucleotide ribosomal RNA is filed under the name uncultured bacterium. RNAcentral describes it as "partial 16S ribosomal RNA". It matches the Rfam family "Bacterial small subunit ribosomal RNA", at positions 524 to 776 of the family's 1533-position model. The record is from RNAcentral.
UACAGAGGUCUCAAGCGUUGUUCGGAUUCACUGGGCGUAAAGGGUGCGUAGGCGGUCGGGUAAGUCUGAUGUGAAAUCUCACAGCUUAACUGUGAAACUGCAUUGGAUACUAUCCGGCUAGAGGAAUGGAGGGGAGACUGGAAUACUUGGUGUAGCAGUGAAAUGCGUAGAUAUCAAGUGGAACACCAGUGGCGAAGGCGAGUCUCUGGACAUUUCCUGACGCUGAGGCACGAAGGCCAGGGGAGCAAACGGG